Molecule: ribosomal RNA, 468 nt
Filed under: uncultured bacterium
Lineage: Bacteria
Description: partial 16S ribosomal RNA
Rfam family: Bacterial small subunit ribosomal RNA
Source: RNAcentral
GACGAACGCUGGCGGCGUGCUUAACACAUGCAAGUCGAACGGAAAGGCCCUGCUUUUGUGGGGUGCUCGAGUGGCGAACGGGUGAGUAACACGUGAGUAACCUGCCCUUGACUUUGGGAUAACUUCAGGAAACUGGGGCUAAUACCGGAUAGGAGCUCCUGCUGCAUGGUGGGGGUUGGAAAGUUUCGGCGGUUGGGGAUGGACUCGCGGCUUAUCAGCUUGUUGGUGGGGUAGUGGCUUACCAAGGCUUUGACGGGUAGCCGGCCUGAGAGGGUGACCGGCCACAUUGGGACUGAGAUACGGCCCAGACGCCUACGGGAGGCAGCAGUGGGGAAUAUUGCACAAUGGGCGGAAGCCUGAUGCAGCAACGCCGCGUGCGGGAUGACGGCCUUCGGGUUGUAAACCGCUUUCGCCUGUGACGAAGCGUGGGUGACGGUAAUGGGUAAAGAAGCACCGGCUAACUACGUG